AGCGAACGCUGGCGGCAGGCUUAACACAUGCAAGUCGAGCGGACCUUCCGGGGUCAGCGGCGGACGGGUGAGUAACGCGUGGGAACGUGCCUUCCGGUUCGGAAUAACACUGGGAAGCUAGGGCUAAUACCGGAUACGCCACUAUGGGGAAAGGUUUACUGCCGGAAGAUCGGCCCGCGUCCGUUUAGCUAGGUGGUGGGGUAACGGCCUACCAAGGCGACGAUCAGUAGCUGGUCAGAGAGGAUGAUCAGCCACACUGGGACUGGGACACGGCCCAGACUCCUACGGGAGGCAGCAGUGGGGAAUAUUGGACAAUGGGCGCAGGCCUGAUCCAGCCAUGCCGCGUGAGUGAUGAAGGCCUUAGGGUUGUAAAGCUCUUUUAUCCGGGACGAUAAUGACGGUACCGGAGGAAUAAGCCCCGGCUAACUUCGUG
RNAcentral lists this ribosomal RNA (433 nucleotides) under uncultured bacterium. RNAcentral's name for it is "partial 16S ribosomal RNA". It matches the Rfam family "Bacterial small subunit ribosomal RNA", at positions 29 to 507 of the family's 1533-position model. The record is from RNAcentral.